Molecule: unclassified non-coding RNA, 775 nt
Filed under: Zea mays
Lineage: Eukaryota; Viridiplantae; Streptophyta; Magnoliopsida; Poales; Poaceae
Description: misc RNA Zm00001eb150580
Source: RNAcentral
CAGCGCACACAGGAUAUCGAUUUGCAUCGACGCCUCCGUGUCCCGUCUCUCCUCUCUCCCGCCGCCCGCCGCGUCGUCCCGUUCCACCAUGGUCAUGGUUUAACAGCGGCGUUCCAUUAUUGCGGCCCGAACGCAACAGGGUACAACGCGCAUCAUGUGAGCUGGGUCCUUGCAGCUGCAACCACCUUCCCGUUCCCAGCAGGCAACCCAAAACAGAAAUACAGGUGCUACGCUGCAAUCCUCUGCAAGUACAAAACAGAAAUACAGACUACAACUAGUAGUGUAGUGUUCAACUCAGCUGAUUCAGGAAGCAUCACACCACAUGAGCAGAACUGCAGAAGAACCCAGACCCCGUUGCUAUUCUCAGUAGAAUGAGAUCAACACUCAGAAAUCUGAAUCCCGUGUACCUGCACCUGCAGGGCUAGAAGAAGAAAAAAUUAUCUUGCAAUGCUAAUACAGCUGUUUCGAUACUCCUUUUUCACAUCCCUUGUUGCAGGAAAUCAUUCAUUCAGAUUUCAUAUUGGUGACUAAGGGGAUGAAUGAUGAUGCUCCCAAAACAACCAAGGCCCUGCUUCUGUUUGAAUGAAAAGUUUUUUUUAAAAAAAAAGAUACCAUGUUUUGUGAAAUGUUUUGAUUGGAGAGUGGCUUCAAGUGUUUGGAUCAAACCUUUUGGUUUUGAAUACCAUGGUGUUGCUAAAAAGUAGUCUUUCUUAGACCUGUUUUUUUUCUUCAAUCACAGUUCUGCACAUCAAUGGUUCUAGAGCUAUAAAUUCUU